AUUGAACGCUGGCGGCAGGCUUAACACAUGCAAGUCGAGCGGAGCGAGGGUGCUUGCACCUUAGCUUAGCGGCGGACGGGUGAGUAAUGCUUAGGAAUCUGCCUAUUAGUGGGGGACAACAUUCCGAAAGGGAUGCUAAUACCGCAUACGCCCUACGGGGGAAAGCAGGGGAUCUUCGGACCUUGCGCUAAUAGAUGAGCCUAAGUCGGAUUAGCUAGUUGGUGGGGUGAAGGCCUACCAAGGCGACGAUCUGUAGCGGGUCUGAGAGGAUGAUCCGCCACACUGGGACUGAGACACGGCCCAGACUCCUACGGGAGGCAGCAGUGGGGAAUAUUGG
Molecule: ribosomal RNA, 337 nt
Filed under: Acinetobacter sp. oral taxon C99
Lineage: Bacteria; Pseudomonadati; Pseudomonadota; Gammaproteobacteria; Moraxellales; Moraxellaceae
Description: bacterial SSU rRNA
Rfam family: Bacterial small subunit ribosomal RNA
Source: RNAcentral